GCUCAAGGGUUCGACGGCGUCCGAGCUUGGCUGCGCAGGUGUGCCGCACUCAGUGUGCUUCCGCCGGAACUUGUGGAGCCACACUGGAGAUUUUCUCUGAAGCCAACGAGACCACGGUUGGAAGACCCCAGGAUGGAAGCGGCCCUUUGCCUUUACGUAGACUACUUCGAGCGGCAGUGGCUUACCAACGUUCCUCUGUGGAAUUAUUUUGCGGAUGAGGACGAUCUCCGCACAAACAAUCACGCCGAAGGGUGGCAUAAUUCGCUGCGAAUUAAAUUCAAAAGCCAACCCCACAUGACGCUUUCGAAGUUCCUCGUCGAAUUUCAGUCAAGCAUACACAAUGCUAACCAGGUACGCAUUCGGCAGCUGCUGAACGGCGCUUCGCCAAACAGGAGACGACGCAAUUUCGUGGAGAACAACGCGGCGAUACAAGAGGCUCGCUCUUCCUUCUCAUGGGCGUACGGAAGAUACAGCUCAGGGGAAAUGAUGCUCGAGGCACCCUUCAGAGACGUAACAGAGCAGUUUGCUCAUGGCAUCAAUACAUACCUGCAGCGCAUGUCCCACUUGCUGGGCCAUGCUAACUAAUAAAUUAGUUGUUCAAAUGAAAAAAUAAAUAAAUAAACAGAGCGGGCUGAGCA
Long non-coding RNA from Ornithodoros turicata, 638 nucleotides. RefSeq lists it as uncharacterized. The record is from RefSeq and is a predicted model, not a curated record. The transcript is spliced from 2 exons. Lineage: Eukaryota; Metazoa; Arthropoda; Arachnida; Ixodida; Argasidae.